GCUCUGUGGAUCAGUGGCGAACGGGUGAGUAACACGUGAGCAACCUGCCCCUGACUCUGGGAUAAGCGCUGGAAACGGCGUCUAAUACUGGAUAUGAGCUGCGAUCGCAUGGUCAGCAGUUGGAAAGAUUUUUCGGUCUGGGAUGGGCUCACGGCCUAUCAGCUUGUUGGUGAGGUAAUGGCUCACCAAGGCGUCGACGGGUAGCCGGCCUGAGAGGGUGACCGGCCACACUGGGACUGAGACACGGCCCAGACUCCUACGGGAGGCAGCAGUGGGGAAUAUUGCACAAUGGGCGAAAGCCUGAUGCAGCAACGCCGCGUGAGGGAUGACGGCCUUCGGGUUGUAAACCUCUUUUAGCAGGGAAGAAGCGAAAGUGACGGUACCUGCAGAAAAAGCGCCGGCUAACUACGUGCCAGCAGCCGCGGUAAUACGUAGGGCGCAAGCGUUAUCCGGAAUUAUUGGGCGUAAAGAGCUCGUAGGCGGUUUGUCGCGUCUGCUGUGAAAUCCCGAGGCUCAACCUCGGGUCUGCAGUGGGUACGGGCAGACUAGAGUGCGGUAGGGGAGAUUGGAAUUCCUGGUGUAGCGGUGGAAUGCGCAGAUAUCAGGAGGAACACCGAUGGCGAAGGCAGAUCUCUGGGCCGUUACUGACGCUGAGGAGCGAAAGGGUGGGGAGCAAACAGGCUUAGAUACCCUGGUAGUCCACCCCGUAAACGUUGGGAACUAGUUGUGGGGUCCAUUCCACGGAUUCCGUGACGCAGCUAACG
RNAcentral lists this ribosomal RNA (764 nucleotides) under Microbacterium oleivorans. Its description in RNAcentral is "bacterial SSU rRNA". It matches the Rfam family "Bacterial small subunit ribosomal RNA", at positions 82 to 857 of the family's 1533-position model. Lineage: Bacteria; Bacillati; Actinomycetota; Actinomycetes; Micrococcales; Microbacteriaceae. The record is from RNAcentral.